AAGAGGAGAUUUUAGAUGUUUUUUGGUAGGUCGACAGAAAUAGCUCUUUGAGGUAAUAUGGGAGUAAGAAGAAAAGUUAGCGGGUUUUAGUUACUUAUUGUGAAAUGUAAAUGGCACUAAGCUAUCUUGGUAUGAUAACCGGAAGGGCGUUUUAGUUACUUAUUAUGAAAUGUAAAUUUGGAUUAUCAGCAUUUUAUUAAUCAUUUGGGUAAAGAGUUUUAGUUACUUAAUGUGAAAUGUAAAUUGACAAAGUAUCCGUGCACCAAUUCCCCGUUAUCUAGUUUUAGUUACUUAUUAUGAAAUGUAAAUACAA
Molecule: small RNA, 313 nt
Filed under: Listeria innocua
Lineage: Bacteria; Bacillati; Bacillota; Bacilli; Caryophanales; Listeriaceae
Description: Listeria sRNA rliB
Rfam family: Listeria sRNA rliB
Source: RNAcentral